GGAGCCGGGCCCAAGACAGAGGUCUCGACCGCGGUGUGGUGAACACAUGGAGGGGGCGGGCUUGGGAUUAGACUGGCAACCUGUGAGCCCAGGACUCCUGGACUUCAUGAUUCCAAGAUUCUCUGGUUCUGUGUUUGACAUUCCAGAAUUCUUCAACACAAAAAGCCCACGGAUAUCCCAAUACAUUUACGAUCCCCAACCUCAACACUGCCCUUCAUCCCUCCCUUCAGAGCCUCCGUUUCCUUGCUUACGAAGUGGGGAUAGUCAACACCUUCCUUGCAGAGCAGCCAUGGAGCUGAGAGCUGGUGCGCGGUCACCAUCUGCUGAGACAGGGAGUCAAGCCACGGAUCGUGUCUGUUUUGCUCACUUCUUUUACCCAAGUCCUAAGGCAUUUGGAGUCAUGCAUAACUCACAUCAGGCUUUCAUGGGAAAAGGUUUCCACAGCUGCGAAAACAGGAAAAUCUAAGAUUCUGCCAUUCAGCAGCAGGCUCCAAAUGGCAGAGUCAUCUCUUCAGCAAACAUUUCCCGAGGCCGUUACCUCGCUGGGUUACCACCAGGGAUGUUACUCGAAUAAUCACAAAGAGGGAUCUAUUAACGGUGGCGGUGGCAGCGUGGCACGAAAGCACAAGACUGGGUCACCCCGGCGGGUCUCAACCCCACCUCCGGCUCCACCCACGCCUGGCCUCCGCGGGGAAGUCCAAGGUCGCCUCUUCACCCAUCUUCCUGCCCCACUCUGGCCUUUACAGUCCAUACUCCAUGGAGCGAUUUUAUAAAGCACAAAUCAGAAGACACUCAGCCCCACCCCACCCACCCCCGGCUCUGAAGUUACACCCUGUGUCUGGUAGGACAUCCAAACUCCUUCCCACUUUGGCCAGCGCUGGGUGAGCCCAGGGCCUUUGGUCUGGUGAUGCCGUCUGUUGGGACGGCCCUUCUCCUGCAUCUUCAAGUAGCUGCUCCCUUCUUGUGGUUCAGGGGUAGAUGUCACCUACUGCCAAGAAACUGGUAACACUGGGGCCUCUCCGGAGGACGACUGCAAAGCUGGGCACAAGGGAGGAAGGCAAGGAGAAGCACUUUUGACUGUGACAUUGUGCAUUGCUUGAUUCUGGGCCA
Long non-coding RNA from Choloepus didactylus (southern two-toed sloth), 1110 nucleotides. RefSeq lists it as uncharacterized. Lineage: Eukaryota; Metazoa; Chordata; Mammalia; Pilosa; Megalonychidae. The transcript is spliced from 3 exons. The record is from RefSeq and is a predicted model, not a curated record.